GCAAGUCGAGCGGACGGAUGGGAGCUUGCUCCCUGAAGUCAGCGGCGGACGGGUGAGUAACACGUGGGCAACCUGCCUGUAAGACUGGGAUAACUCCGGGAAACCGGGGCUAAUACCGGAUAAUUCUUCCCUUCACAUGAGGGGGAGCUGAAAGAUGGUUUCGGCUAUCACUUACAGAUGGGCCCGCGGCGCAUUAGCUAGUUGGUGAGGUAACGGCUCACCAAGGCGACGAUGCGUAGCCGACCUGAGAGGGUGAUCGGCCACACUGGGACUGAGACACGGCCCAGACUCCUACGGGAGGCAGCAGUAGGGAAUCUUCCGCAAUGGACGAAAGUCUGACGGAGCAACGCCGCGUGAGUGAUGAAGGUUUUCGGAUCGUAAAACUCUGUUGUCAGGGAAGAACAAGUGCCGGAGUAACUGCCGGCACCUUGACGGUACCUGGCCAGAAAGCCACGGCUAACUACGUGCCAGCAGCCGCGGUAAUACGUAGGUGGCAAGCGUUGUCCGGAAUUAUUGGGCGUAAAGCGCGCGCAGGCGGUUCCUUAAGUCUGAUGUGAAAGCCCACGGCUCAACCGUGGAGGGUCAUUGGAAACUGGGGAACUUGAGUGCAGAAGAGGAGAGUGGAAUUCCACGUGUAGCGGUGAAAUGCGUAGAGAUGUGGAGGAACACCAGUGGCGAAAGCGACUCUCUGGUCUGUAACUGACGCUGAGGCGCGAAAGCGUGGGGAGCAAACAGGAUU
RNAcentral lists this ribosomal RNA (739 nucleotides) under Bacillus sp. PSu2_26. Its description in RNAcentral is "bacterial SSU rRNA". It matches the Rfam family "Bacterial small subunit ribosomal RNA", at positions 57 to 779 of the family's 1533-position model. The record is from RNAcentral. Lineage: Bacteria; Bacillati; Bacillota; Bacilli; Caryophanales; Bacillaceae.